RNAcentral lists this ribosomal RNA (429 nucleotides) under Chloroflexota bacterium. RNAcentral's name for it is "Chloroflexi bacterium partial 16S ribosomal RNA". It matches the Rfam family "Bacterial small subunit ribosomal RNA", at positions 355 to 776 of the family's 1533-position model. Lineage: Bacteria; Bacillati; Chloroflexota. The record is from RNAcentral.
UGGGGAAUAUUGCACAAUGGGCGCAAGCCUGAUGCAGCCAUGCCGCGUGUGUGAAGAAGGCCUUCGGGUUGUAAAGCACUUUCAGCGGGGCGGAAGGCGUUAAGGUUAAUAACCUUGGCGAUUGACGUUACCCGCAGAAGAAGCACCGGCUAACUCCGUGCCAGCAGCCGCGGUAAUACGGAGGGUGCAAGCGUUAAUCGGAAUUACUGGGCGUAAAGCGCACGCAGGCGGUCUGUCAAGUCGGAUGUGAAAUCCCCGGGCUCAACCUGGGAACUGCAUUCGAAACUGGCAGGCUAGAGUCUUGUAGAGGGGGGUAGAAUUCCAGGUGUAGCGGUGAAAUGCGUAGAGAUCUGGAUGAAUACCGGUGGCGAAGGCGGCCCCCUGGACAAAGACUGACGCUCAGGUGCGAAAGCGUGGGGAGCAAACAGG